AGAGUUUGAUCAUGGCUCAGAACGAACGCUGGCGGCGUGCCUAACACAUGCAAGUCGAACGAGAAAGGGGCUUCGGCUCCGAGUAAAGUGGCGCACGGGUGAGUAACACGUAGGUAACCUGCCUCUAAGAUUGGGAUAACAUGUCGAAAGACGUGCUAAUACCGAAUGAGACCACGGCUUCCUCGGAAGCAGAGGGCAAAGAUAGCCUCUACUUGUAAGCUAUCACUUAGAGAUGGGCCUGCGUACCAUUAGCUAGUUGGUAGGGUAACGGCCUACCAAGGCAAAGAUGGUUAGCUGGUCUGAGAGGAUGAUCAGCCACACUGGAACUGAGACACGGUCCAGACUCCUACGGGAGGCAGCAGUGGGGAAUAUUGCGCAAUGGGCGAAAGCCUGACGCAGCAACGCCGCGUGAGUGAUGAAGGCCUUCGGGUCGUAAAGCUCUGUCGGAGGGAACGAAUGUUCCUGGGGUUAACAGCCUCGGGAAGUGACGGUACCCUCAAAGGAAGCACCGGCUAACUCUGUGCCAGCAGCCGCGGUAAUACAGAGGGUGCUAGCGUUGUUCGGAAUCAUUGGGCGUAAAGGGCGUGUAGGCGGUUUGUUAAGUCAUGUGUGAAAUCCCUCGGCUCAACCGGGGAACGACGCAUGAAACUGGCAAGCUAGAGUACCAAAGAGGGGGGUGGAAUUCCCGGUGUAGCGGUGA
This 700-nucleotide ribosomal RNA is filed under the name uncultured bacterium. RNAcentral's name for it is "bacterial SSU rRNA". It matches the Rfam family "Bacterial small subunit ribosomal RNA", at positions 8 to 684 of the family's 1533-position model. The record is from RNAcentral.